Molecule: ribosomal RNA, 497 nt
Filed under: uncultured bacterium
Lineage: Bacteria
Description: partial 16S ribosomal RNA
Rfam family: Bacterial small subunit ribosomal RNA
Source: RNAcentral
GACGAACGCUGGCGGCGUGCCUAAUACAUGCAAGUUGAGCGAUGAAGCUUGGUGCUUGCUCCAAUUUGAAGAGCAGCGAACGGGUGAGUAACGCGUGGGUAAUCUGCCUUUGAGCGGGGGACAACAUUUGGAAACGAAUGCUAAUACCGCAUAACAACUUUAAACAUAAGUUUUAAGAUUGAAAGAUGCAAUUGCUUCCCUCAAUGAAGAUCCCGCGUUGUCUUAGCUAGUUGGUGAGGUAAAGGCUCACCCAGGCGAUGAUACAUAACCGACCUGGGAGGGUGGUCGGCCACAAUUGGACUUAGACAAGGCCCAAACCUCUUCGGGGGGGAGCAGUAGGGGAACUUCGGGAAUGGGCGGAAGGCUGGCCGGGCAACGGCGCGGUGAGGAAGGAGGUUUUCGGAUCGUAAAAACCUGUUGGUAGGGAAGAAAGAUGGGGGUAAUGAAAAGCUCAUGAAGUGACGGUAACUACUCAGAAAGCGACGGCUAACUACGUG